AGAUACUUCAACAGACUUCUUGACGAAGUGGUUGUUGCCCCAUCUCUAUCAGUGUUUAAGAGGCCUGCUUGCUUGCUGGCCAUCUCACAUAGCAUCCACCCCUCUCUGUGGCAUAAUCCCUGAGCUGGACCUGGUGCAGAAGCAGAACUGUGAUGAGGAUUGUCUUAAUGGGUGGAGCUGGAGAGCGAACUCUCACAGAAGCAUGGAUAUACACAAAUGUCCUGCUGCUGGAUAUCUACCUUGUAAGUCCCAGAUCCUGAUGCUGUGCUCUUCAGAUCCAGUCCUUUACACUGAACUGGUGAGUAUAUGGAGGUAAGUGGCUUUAUUUAGUAGCAUUUUUAUAUUCUACAUAUCUCUGUUGCUUUUAGCAGUUGCUCUGACCUGGCUACCAAGAAUAAAGUAAUAAGAAAUUGUGCUCUGGAGUCUGAGUGCCUCCCAUAGGAGUCUCUCUCCUUGAGGGAAAGGAGUAGAUUAAGAGAAAUUAACAUCUUAAUACUUUGCCCUUUGGGCACUGAUAUCUACUGUUACAGCUUUAGGCAAGUUCAGCCUUCUUCACUCAUUCAGUGCAGAGCAGCAGAAGGGAGCAGACAGAUAUAGGUAUUUAUUAAGAAUCAGGCUUCUUGCUUGCAGCUUGUUCCAGCCCCACUUAAAAGAGCACGCAAAUGGGAAUACUGGGAGUCACUGAACCAAUACUCUGUACUGGCUGUGAUGUACUGUCAGGCGCUAGUAGGAAAUGCGUAGAGAAGGACCAUGUGGAGAGGGCAAAAGCAGACUGAUGUGGCCCCAAGUAAACCUUCCAAGUCUGGGGCAAUGGCCUGUUCCUGAACAAAGGGAUGUGAUUAGACCCAUUGCUGGAAUAGCUACACAGAGGUCUAG
Long non-coding RNA from Pezoporus flaviventris, 876 nucleotides. RefSeq lists it as uncharacterized. The transcript has 3 exons. NCBI's taxonomy places the organism in Eukaryota, Metazoa, Chordata, Aves, Psittaciformes, Psittacidae. The record is from RefSeq and is a predicted model, not a curated record.